This 225-nucleotide ribosomal RNA is filed under the name uncultured bacterium. RNAcentral describes it as "partial 16S ribosomal RNA". It matches the Rfam family "Bacterial small subunit ribosomal RNA", at positions 111 to 334 of the family's 1533-position model. The record is from RNAcentral.
UAACGUGUGGGCAACCUGCCCUAUACUGGGGAAUAAUCACUGGAAACGGUGACUAAUACCGCAUGUCAUUACGGAAGGGCAUCCUUCUGUAAGAAAGGGAGUAAUUCGGUAUAGGAUGGGCCCGCAUCUGAUUAGCUAGUUGGUGAGAUAACAGCCCACCAAGGCGACGAUCAGUAGCCGACCUGAGAGGGUGAUCGGCCACAUUGGGACUGAGACACGGCCCAA